UACGUAGGGGGCGAGCGUUGUCCGGAAUUACUGGGCGUAAAGGGUGCGUAGGUGGCCUUUUAAGUUGGAUGUGAAAUACCCGGGCUUAACUUGGGGGGUGCAUCUAAUACUGGAGGGCUAGAGUGCAGGAGAGGGAAGCGGAAUUCCUAGUGUAGCGGUGAAAUGCGUAGAUAUUAGGAGGAACACCAGUGGCGAAGGCGGCUUUCUGGACUGUAACUGACACUGAGGCACGAAAGCGUGGGGAGCAAACAGG
RNAcentral lists this ribosomal RNA (253 nucleotides) under uncultured bacterium. RNAcentral describes it as "partial 16S ribosomal RNA". It matches the Rfam family "Bacterial small subunit ribosomal RNA", at positions 524 to 776 of the family's 1533-position model. The record is from RNAcentral.